Molecule: ribosomal RNA, 407 nt
Filed under: uncultured Acetobacterium sp.
Lineage: Bacteria; Bacillati; Bacillota; Clostridia; Eubacteriales; Eubacteriaceae
Description: bacterial SSU rRNA
Rfam family: Bacterial small subunit ribosomal RNA
Source: RNAcentral
GCGCAAGCCUGAUGCAGCCAUGCCGCGUGUAUGAAGAAGGCCUUCGGGUUGUAAAGUACUUUCAGCGGGGAGGAAGGUGUUGUGGUUAAUAACCACAGCAAUUGACGGUACCCAAGAAGAAAGUCCCGGCUAACUACGUGCCAGCAGCCGCGGUAAUACGUAGGGGACAAGCGUUGUCCGGAUUUACUGGGCGUAAAGGGCACGCAGGCGGUUUUUUAAGUCAGAUGUGAAAGGUACCGGCUCAACCGGUGACAUGCAUUUGAAACUGAAAGACUUGAGUAUUGGAGAGGCAAGUGGAAUUCCUAGUGUAGCGGUGAAAUGCGUAGAUAUUAGGAGGAACACCGGUGGCGAAGGCGGCUUGCUGGACAAAUACUGACGCUGAGGUGCGAAAGCGUGGGGAGCAAACA